Molecule: ribosomal RNA, 254 nt
Filed under: uncultured bacterium
Lineage: Bacteria
Description: partial 16S ribosomal RNA
Rfam family: Bacterial small subunit ribosomal RNA
Source: RNAcentral
UACAGAGGGUGCAAGCGUUGUUCGGAAUUAUUGGGCGUAAAGGGCGCGUAGGCGGCCUCCGCAAGUCGACUGUGAAAUCUCCGGGCUUAACCCGGAAAGGUCAGCCGAAACUGCGGGGCUAGAGUGCAGAAGGGGCAACUGGAAUUCUCGGUGUAGCGGUGAAAUGCGUAGAUAUCGAGAGGAACACCUGCGGCGAAGGCGGGUUGCUGGGCUGACACUGACGCUGAAGCGCGAAAGCUAGGGGAGCGAACGGG